CAGCAGCCGCCACGGUAAUACGAAGGGGGCUAGCGUUGCUCGGAAUGACUGGGCGUAAAGGGCGCGUAGGCGGUUUGGACAGUCAGAUGUGAAAUUCCUGGGCUUAACCUGGGGGCUGCAUUUGAUACGUUCAGGCUUGAGUGUGGAAGAGGGUCGUGGAAUUCCCAGUGUAGAGGUGAAAUUCGUAGAUAUUGGGAAGAACACCGGUGGCGAAGGCGGCGACCUGGUCCAUUACUGACGCUGAGGCGCGAAAGCGUGGGGAGCAAACAGGAUUAGAUACCCCUGUAGUCCCUGUCUCUUAUAC
This 304-nucleotide ribosomal RNA is filed under the name uncultured bacterium. RNAcentral describes it as "partial 16S ribosomal RNA". It matches the Rfam family "Bacterial small subunit ribosomal RNA", at positions 509 to 807 of the family's 1533-position model. The record is from RNAcentral.